AACAAUCCAACAAACCAACAUUAUUCGACAAGUUCAUCAUUCAACAAGUUCCUUCACACUAAAGCUUCUACCAAAGCAAACAAAUACCACCCUCUAAAUUUCCUCCUUUUUUUCAACCAUCUCCAUCUCUAUCGUCAAACUCAUCUCCCUCAAAACUCACUAUCAUAAAUAUCCCAUAAAGUAUAAAAUUUGUUAAAAAAAUAUUUCAAAAUCUGAUGAACAAAACAACAAGGACAACAAUUUCAGUGAGCUAGAGGUACAGUCAUCAUGACGUCGAUGCCAACAUAACCAGUUCUUACUCCGACUUCUCCUUGUCUUUUUCAACAAAGUUGUGAUGCUAGAGAAAUUCAAAAUAGAAACCAUCUCACUCUUUCAAUGACCGUAAAAUCAAACAGUAAAACAAUGAUGAGCCAUGGUGAAAAAAACUAUCAGUAAAUUGAAAAUUCCAGAUCUAGCCGAAAAUACAAAAAAUAACAAAGAACAGGUUUUAACUCCAGCGAAAUGGUUAGUUGUUUCAGUGACUUCUCCAUUUUUUAUAUGAUAUUGUUUGACGUUCAUGACUUUUGUUAUUUUUGUUAUUGAUUAGUUUGUUUCUAAUGUUGUCAGAAUGAUUGUUACUAUUUUCAAGCGUUUCCGUACUUUUUGAUCUUUUUUUGGUGAAUUUAUCCAUCUAUAUUUUGUUAGCAUUUUGUAGGUCGUAUAUUUUUUGGGUUUAAUUAUAUUACUCUUUAUUAGUGUAUUAUUUAUUUUUUCUGAUUUGUUUCAUUUUCAUACCAUUGAUAUUUUGUUUCCCAAAUGGUGUAGGUGUUAUUUUAAUUAUUUACGUAUCUCUCGGCUCUACAUUGUUUUAGUUAGUUUCAAAUUUUCAAUUGAAUUUUAUCUUGGUAUAGAUGUGAUCUUUAUAUAUUUUAAUAGUAACUAUUUUUUUUCCUAUUGUGAAUUAUUUUUUUAGUUAUUUUGUACCUUACAUGUUUUAUUGUUUUUAUAGAUCAAUACUUAGCCAAUGAUAAAAUCUUUCUAUUGGAUUUUCUAGGCCAUCACAUUACAAAAGAUGAAUGUUAGUUCAAGUUUGAUUAUUUAUUUAUUUCUUUUCACUGAGUUUUAAUGCUUGGCCAUCAUAUGUAUGCAUAUGAGAUGGGGCUUACUUUUGUUUAUUAUUUAUUUUAUUUAUUCAUUUUGUUUAAUGAUAGGAAAAUACUAGGACAUUUCAUUAUUCAUGAUUUACUUAAUGAUUUGUGUAUAUUUUAUGUUUAUAAAAACUCAUAAAAAUGUUAUUUUAUCUCCUCUUCAAUUGAAAAACUGAGUUCAGUUGGGACACACUUUUAUAGAUUUCGAAGGGUGUCUAACACCUUCUCUUUGAAAUAAUCUAAGCCCUUACAUAGAAUCUAAUUGGUUACGCAGGCUAAUUUUUUAAAAAUUUAAUUAAUAUGUUUCCCAGUUUUCCUAAAAUUAGGUGGCAACUUUCUCCAAAUUUUAAAACUAAUUAUUUGAAUUAAUUUUUUGAGUCUCAAAAUUGCGAACAUAUGAAAAUAUGAAUGUGACACUCAAUAUGGUCACUGUAAAUUUAUUGUUAUGUCUUUUGAACUGACGAAUUCUCCUGCAGCUUUUAGGACUUGAUGAACAGAGUGUUCAAGUGGUACUUGGACAUAUUUGUCAUAGUAGUUUUAUAUGAAUUUGUCACGACCCAACUUUUCAGGUCAUGAUGACGCCUACUAUAACCCUAUAGUAGGCAAUCCAAACCCACAGUAUGGAACAAUUAGUAACGAACUACUCAAAUAUAUAAAGGAAGAAUUGUGGAAUAGAUGAAAUAGAGAAAGAAUUGCAUAAUAUAAUCCCAAAACCUGUCGGUGUCAGGACAAGAGCUAAUAAUAAUACAAGAGUACAAACUGAAGUACAAAAGAAUACAUUAAUAUAACUUAUCUCUGAAUACAACAUAAAGACUAGUCUAUUAUAUAAGAGAGAGAUAAGUAAUACUCUAAACAUCAGGAGCUCACUCUAAGUAUCUGAAUUAUGGUUGCUCUGUAUGAAGCACAUAUUAAUGAUACGAUAACCCAUACUAUGAUCUGUAGGCUACAGAAGUAUUGUAUGAGAAUAAAAGGAAUUGUAGUCAGUCGGCAACUUCGAACUGAGUUCCAAAGAUAAAGCUGAUAUAUAUAACAUAUAAAUAAAAUAAAAACUACACCGAAGAGUCUAGUAACCAUAUAACAAAGCCAUUGGUAUAAUAAGGAUAUUCUAUCCUAUUCAUGUUCAAGAGACUAACAUAUUAAGUCUAAGAAAAUACCAAGGGUGAACUUCCCUAUUCAAGACAUACUUAGAAAUUUCAACACUAUACCCUAUAUCAAUGGCCAAUAUAUGAAUAAAGGACAAAGGAAGGAUAUAUAGCAAUAAAUAAGGAAAAGAAAUGAAUAUACAAUCUAAACAAAUAAAGGAAGGGAUAUACGGUAAUACCAUAGCUACAUAUAGCUAGAUAUACAUAUAUAAAGAUAUAAGGUCAACUCGAAGCACAACCUAGAUCGUUAUAUCUUUAUUUUAAGGCCUUAUUAUAAUCCUAUCAGGAUUUAUUACUAACCACUCCAAGCUUCUAAUCCAUAUAUCUCAGCAUGAACUAACCAUACAUAAUAAUUAAAUUGUAGGAUAGAAGCGGUCAGAAUCAUACCUCAAAUAUCGAUGCAGAAUUAAUACUAAUCUGUCAUAACUAGACAUAACAAUGAUCAUAAAAAUUAUGAUAACAAUAUCAAUAACAGCCUGAGUAAUCGGCUAUUUUGGAUAACCAAAUACCUAGCCGAGCCUAUGUAUACCCCCACUGCCCUAGGCUCAAAAGUUUUAAUCAACAUAUAAAAACAACACAAGGCAUAGUUAUCACCAAUAUUUAUAAAACCGUCCCUUACUGGCUGAUAGAUAUAGGUGUACACUGAUGAUAGGAGAUGCACAUGCAAGAAUGAAUGCAGGAUACAUAAUCAAUAUAAUCAUCCUCUGGCCUUGCCGGGUAUCAAUAGCAUCAUCAUAAGGUCCUCCGACAUUGUCGGUCAUGAUCACAUCAUCAUAAUAUCCUUUGGCCUUGUUGGGCAUCUCCACAUCAUUAUAAUAUCUUUCAGCCUUGCCGAGUAUCAUUAUAUCAUCAUAAUAACCUCCGACCUUGUCGGGCAUCAUAAAAUCUUCAUAAUAUCCCCCAGCCUUUAUGGGCAUCAUCAUAAUAUCCAAAUCAAUAUCAGUAAUAGAGAGCGAACCCUGUGAUGGUUAAAGUAAAGUGCAAUCCCCAUGAGGACUAAAGAACAAGCACCACGAGGGAUAAAGUAAAUAACAAGCCCCACAAGGGCUAAAGUAAAUGACAAGCCCCACAAGAGCUAAACUAAAUGAUCAUGAGAAGAGAAGCAAGGUAAUUAUAUUUUCAUGAUCCAUCGCUCAUCAUCAAUAUCACAUUAUCCGUAAGCAUAUAUACAUAAUAGGUGUGCGGAUGCAAGUCGUGGUUAAAAGAGUGUAAAUCUAUAAGUUGGUUACCCAGAGUAAACUUCAAGAAUAAAUCUCUGUAAAAGUGUAGAAAGGGUCAGAAUAUCUCAUGACCAAAUUGAAUAGUAGUGUCGAAUCUUGGGCCAGAAUAGAUCUCAGUCAAAUCUUUAAAUCAUCAUCAUUAACCUCUUUUAUACAUGUAAAUUAUUCAUUAAGUUAUGUAGUUAUUAUUAUAAAGAAAUCUGUUUUAAGGUAGAAGCUGGGCUUUAGCCCUUUGUUAGUGAACAAUAAUAAUAUUAUAAUAUUAUUGGAAUCAUAUCAAUCAUUGAUGCAACAAUCAUUAAUGUACUGAAUCUAUGCAUGUCAUUACCAGUAUUCAAACAUUGGAAUCAUAAAUAUCAUAUUGCACCUUCUUCCAUCCCAUAUCAAAAAUAUGUACAUAUAUGAAUAUUUAUAUAUUCAUAAACUACAACCAUAUCAUUUACAAGGGUAAUUACUUCCCGAAUAUCGAACCAAUAUCAUACACGACCGUUGGCCCAAUAAUAUUUCUCGAAUAAUCAUAACAUUAUAAUCAUGGCCUUAGGCCCACAUGCAUAUCUAGAUCUCACAUCAAUAAACAUGUAUGUAUAAAUUAUCUCAUAACUAUAGGACAUAGCAUAUUCAUAAGGUGUAACAUCUCUAUAAGUUAUGAAGAAUAUCCAUAAUCAUCUCACAUAUAUGAGGCAUCUUACUUCUAGGAGGCAUAAUGCAUUAAUAAGCAUAACUCAUACUAUGAGGCAUAUCACAUCUAUAAGGUAUCUCGUGUAAAUAAGUCAUAUAUCAUGAAUAUGAGAAAUAUCAUAUCCAUAGGCCAAUUAUCAUAUUGAAGAGGAAUAACAUAUCAAAAGUCCCAAUAUCACAUCUAAGAGGAAAUAACAUCUCUAAUGGCCUAAUAUUAUUUCUAAAACGAAUAUCAUAACCAUAAGCCAUUAGUCAUUAUUUGGGUGAAAGUACCAUCACUAUUCGUCAACCAAAAAGUAAUCUUACAUUAAGGUUUACUAGUUCGAACUAUGUCUAACAUCCUUAAAUAAGUCCAUAAAAGCUAACAUAAGUCUUGGCUUAAGGUGGGUCGGACGAUCCCACUUCUAAUCCUCAAUUUUCAUACUUAGGCAAUCUACAUGCCAAACUAGGCUAAGGUAACAAGUUCAACUUCCAAAUGUCAAGGAAGCCAUAACCAAUCCUAUGAUAGGAACUUCAUUUAGAAACAAGGUUAGUUAAGUGAACUUCACCUAAACUAAGUUUCAAGAUCACAACAAUAUACCAAAUAAAGUGAAACAUACUAACCAUACUUCUAAUGCUAAAACCACAUCUCAAACCUAGCAUUAUAGUGUAUUCAUUCUACAAAUUAGUUCAAUAUCGGGAGAAGCCAAUAAGAUUCAAAAAGGUACUAAGCAUUUCACCUUACGAGCUAAAAACUCUCAUCUAGUUCCCCAACUUCAAUAGUCAAGACUAAGGCAUUCUACUUACAAUCAAUCUUAAUGUUCAUAUUCACACACAAUAUAUAUCACACAUCAUCUAUGAAGAAGAAUAGAUAGAAGCCUACCUCAAAGCCGAACCGCAAAAUCGUACAUUAUUCACCACACGUCCAUUUUUACUUCACAGUCCCCAAAAUUCCAUCAAACUAUUGUGCUUGGGUCCAAAAAUGAUGCCAAAACCCAAGUAGGUUCCACUUAUGGAAAACGUGUUUCUGAGGUCAACCCAAUGUUCAUACAUGGACAAGGAAUUAUAACCAUCAAGAAAUAUGUGAAAAUAAGCAUUUUUGGGGCCAAAACCAAGACCUAAGAUAUUUUGGGCUUUUAGGUUCAAAUUAAGAAUUUCAAGCAUGAAUUCAAAGGAUUCUUACCUGAAAUUUGAAGAUAUUUGCAAUAAUAGAUGGUAAUCUAGCUCCUAAGUCACCCAUAAUGAUCAGUUUUGAGUUAUCAUACCUAUUUAGAGAUUUUUACUCUUAAGGGUGAGAGAAAAUGCCUAAAUUUGUGACAUUGGGGUCUAUGAGAUCCAGAGAUUGACACAAGUGGGAUACAAUCGCACAAGGGCAAUAGAGAUAGGGCUCACCACGAUCGCGCUAACCUCUAUCAUCACAGAUGAUAAUACUUAUGCCUCGAGAAUUAUCCAGAAUUCAAUUUUCACAAAUAAACUAUGUAACCCCACUAAAUAAGACAUUUCAGAUGCAUUGGAGAAGUCAAAUUUUAAAUAUAAUGUCUUUUCAACCAAAUAUGGGUCCUACACUCAUAUUUCUAAAUUUUCUACUUUUCAACUAAUCGGCCGAAAUGAGCUUGGGUGCAUCGAGACCCAAACUAAUAGUCUACCUAGACUAAAAUUGAUAUUCCAGAGCUGCUAAUGCAAUUAGAAUUUGAUUUUGUGAUCAUCUUACUAAUGUUUUUGCCUGAUGGCCAUUUAGAACUAGCAAAGACUACUAAAUAGGGAAUUGGUUUUAAAAACCAAGCAAACUGCUCGAUAACCAAAUAGUCAGUCCUAGCAAGUCAUAAAUGACUUGGGGAUGAGAUAGAUAAGUUCAAACAGUAAAGAUAAGCCAAAAUAUAUGAAAUAACCUGAAGGGUCAUUACAAUAUUCACUAUUAAAAGGACUUUUGUCCCAGAAAGUUAAUGGAUAAAAAGAAUCUAAAAAUCUUAAAGGGAUGAGGUGCUGGACUCGCAUGCUCUGAGAAUGUCAUAUGUUCCAUUGUUUUAUGGAACAUUUGAUGCUUAUAAUAGUAAAAUUAUACAUUGACUUAGGUUAUUUUGUUGGUAUGAUGUGUGUCUUAUGUGUUCUUUAGGGGAAAUAGGUCGGAAGUAGUGCUAAAAAAAUAAAAGAAAGUGCUAAAAUAUUGAUGUUUUGUUCAAGGUAUGAGUUGAUAAGUUACCUUAUGACUCGUAGCUAGACUCGCAAAGAUAACUGUGGGCAUAAAAAGUAUGCAAAAGUCAAGUUAAGGAAGACUACGAGUCACAAAGUCUAACUAAGACUGAUAGUGUAAAGUCAUAAUGAGAAAAGUGUACAAAUCCCUAAAUAUUGAUUCUCUAGUGGUUAAUAUUUAAGGACAUAAGUCAUAAAGACUUACUACGACUCGUGGUGAGGAGUUUUAAGGUUAGCAGAGUCAAAAUCCCUAAAGAUAAAAGUUCACUAGAGUGCCUACAACUAUUUACAUAGGACUCGUAAAGAGACUAAACGAUUCAUAGCCACUGAAGCCUGAAGAAAAAUAUGACAGAAAGUAAUGAGUCACAACCAGACACAACAACUCAUUGCCAGAAUCGUAACUAGUGCCGACUUACUUUUCCUAUAUUGUUUCGAUUAAGAAUCCUUUGCUAUUUUGAGAUACAAUAAAUACUUUAGGGUUAUUCCUUUAUUUUGUUACACAUUUUUGAUAUUUUUAUUCAUAAUUUCACAUACUUUGAUCAUUGAUAUUAUUGCUCAUGAGUUUUUUGGUUUAAUAUUUAAUUAGAGAUUUUGGAUUUUACUCUUUCAUAAUUAUGCAAGUCAUUACAUAUUUUGUUCAUUGAUUAUAAUGGAUUAUUGCAUAAGCAUGACCGGCUAAUUUCCUUGACUAGGGUUGUGGGAACCCUAGUGGAUUAGCUAGGUAAGGGAAGUGGGAAAUUAUAUAUUCUAUUAUAGUUGCGUGUAUUAUAAUUUUCCUUAUUGUAAUCGUACCCCAAGCUACUUGAUGAGUGGUAUUUCUACCACCCAUUAAUACUCAUUAUUCAGCAUAAUGCCUUGAUUUGAAUGCAUAAAUGAAACAAACUUAUGGUUAGAUGCACUAACAUCCACUCGAUGCAGGCAAAAAGAUAAGGAGGUCAAAAGAUAUGGAUUGGAGUUGAAAAUUAUAAAAGGGAAGCAUCGAAGAGUGCAGCUGAAGAUAUGGUUUGCAUCAGCCUUAGUUACUGUGACAACAGUCCACUAAUUGUAGUCGUGAUCAGUGAAGAUGGUCAGAGCAAUAUGUUCAAGGAUUCUAACUGCGGUCGCAUCGGGCGGUCACAGUCAAAUACUUGCGAUCGCGGAUCAGUAGGAACUGGUCCAAGAGCAGAAUUGUUAAAUGUCAUGGAUGAAUCCCAAAUCAUACAUAAGAAUAAACCCUUUCUUCUUUGGGUAUUGCUUGUCUUACAAUAUAGUUUUGAAUUAUAAGCUUGAAACCCCAAUUGGGUAAGUGUGUAAUUAACUUUGGAGACUCAAAUUUCUUAAUUUCUUAUUGAAGAAUGA
RNAcentral lists this long non-coding RNA (7674 nucleotides) under Capsicum annuum. RNAcentral describes it as "long non-coding RNA (CANN_LNC004909)". The record is from RNAcentral. Lineage: Eukaryota; Viridiplantae; Streptophyta; Magnoliopsida; Solanales; Solanaceae.